This 722-nucleotide ribosomal RNA is filed under the name uncultured Staphylococcus sp. RNAcentral's name for it is "bacterial SSU rRNA". It matches the Rfam family "Bacterial small subunit ribosomal RNA", at positions 59 to 763 of the family's 1533-position model. Lineage: Bacteria; Bacillati; Bacillota; Bacilli; Caryophanales; Staphylococcaceae. The record is from RNAcentral.
AAGUCGAGCGAACGGACGAGAAGCUUGCUUCUCUGAUGUUAGCGGCGGACGGGUGAGUAACACGUGGAUAACCUACCUAUAAGACUGGGAUAACUUCGGGAAACCGGAGCUAAUACCGGAUAAUAUUUUGAACCGCAUGGUUCAAAAGUGAAAGACGGUCUUGCUGUCACUUAUAGAUGGAUCCGCGCUGCAUUAGCUAGUUGGUAAGGUAACGGCUUACCAAGGCAACGAUGCAUAGCCGACCUGAGAGGGUGAUCGGCCACACUGGAACUGAGACACGGUCCAGACUCCUACGGGAGGCAGCAGUAGGGAAUCUUCCGCAAUGGGCGAAAGCCUGACGGAGCAACGCCGUGUGAGUGAUGAAGGUCUUCGGAUCGUCAAACUCUGUUAUUAGGGAAGAACAUAUGUGUAAGUAACUGUGCACAUCUUGACGGUACCUAAUCAGAAAGCCACGGCUAACUACGUGCCAGCAGCCGCGGUAAUACGUAGGUGGCAAGCGUUAUCCGGAAUUAUUGGGCGUAAAGCGCACGUAGGCGGUUUUUUAAGUCUGAUGUGAAAGCCCACGGCUCAACCGUGGAGGGUCAUUGGAAACUGGAAAACUUGAGUGCAGAAGAGGAAAGUGGAAUUCCAUGUGUAGCGGUGAAAUGCGCAGAGAUAUGGAGGAACACCAGUGGCGAAGGCGACUUUCUGGUCUGUAACUGACGCUGAUGUGCGAAAGCGUG